GGAGAAAUGGCCGAGUGGUUUAAGGCGCAGCAUUGGAAAUGCUGUUCAAGCAUAAGUUUGACGAGGGUUCGAAUCCCUCUUUCUCUU
RNAcentral lists this transfer RNA (87 nucleotides) under Corynoplastis japonica. RNAcentral describes it as "tRNA-Ser". It matches the Rfam family "tRNA". From Rfam's summary of the family: Transfer RNA (tRNA) molecules are approximately 80 nucleotides in length. Their secondary structure includes four short double-helical elements and three loops (D, anti-codon, and T loops). Further hydrogen bonds mediate the characteristic L-shaped molecular structure. tRNAs have two regions of fundamental functional importance: the anti-codon, which is responsible for specific mRNA codon recognition, and the 3' end, to which the tRNAs corresponding amino acid is attached (by aminoacyl-tRNA synthetases). tRNAs cope with the degeneracy of the genetic code in two manners: having more than one tRNA (with a specific anti-codon) for a particular amino acid; and 'wobble' base-pairing, i.e. permitting non-standard base-pairing at the 3rd anti-codon position. Lineage: Eukaryota; Rhodophyta; Rhodellophyceae; Rhodellales; Rhodellaceae. The record is from RNAcentral.